UAUUUUUGUACGUGGCCUAUUUUUGUAGGAAGUCGUAUGGUUCCUUCUCCACGUUUGAGCCAUAUGGUUCUUCUCUCACGUUUGAAUUUUGUGAUCCUCAAUUUUGAAUUUUGAAUGGACUUAUCCAUUUCAAUUAGUGGUUGUUUUCACUAUUUUAUAUUGAUAUCAUGUGAAAUAAUUAGACGUAUUCCCUAUUUUCGGAGGCUUGAGGCUGAUACGUUCAGAAGGUUUUAUCGAGAUUCUCUAUAACGUCUACCUAGCUAUCUGUGGACUUCAUGGAAGGAGCUAUUGCUGGGAGACGUACCCAUAAUGAUAUUACUGCUUCUAUUCCCAUUUUUUAGAACACUUCAUUUUCUGAAUUGUGCAACCAGGUUAGCUCAAGGUUCAAUGGUUUGGUAGUUGAUUCAUUUAACCUUACAUAUGCUAUGAAUGGAUGCGCAUAUUGUCUUUUGGAAUGUGACAUGGAUGUGCGUGUAUUGCACAUGUUUGUAACGAAGGAGAACACAUAUUUUGUUGAUAUAUUUCAUGAACUAAACAAUCAAUAUGAGUCUGUGUAACAUUAAGUAA
Pyrus x bretschneideri (Chinese white pear) is the source of this 567-nucleotide long non-coding RNA. RefSeq lists it as uncharacterized. The transcript is spliced from 2 exons. The record is from RefSeq and is a predicted model, not a curated record. NCBI's taxonomy places the organism in Eukaryota, Viridiplantae, Streptophyta, Magnoliopsida, Rosales, Rosaceae.